UACGUAGGGUGCAAGCGUUGUCCGGAUUUAUUGGGCGUAAAGCGUGCGUAGGCGGCUGCGCAAGUCGGGUGUGAAACCCCGGGGCUCAACCCCGGAACUGCAUCCGAUACUGCGUGGCUAGAGGUAGGUAGGGGAGAUCGGAAUUCCUGGUGUAGCGGUGAAAUGCGCAGAUAUCAGGAGGAACACCGGUGGCGAAGGCGGAUCUCUGGUCCUUACCUGACGCUCAGGCACGAAAGCUAGGGGAGCGAACAGG
RNAcentral lists this ribosomal RNA (253 nucleotides) under uncultured bacterium. RNAcentral's name for it is "partial 16S ribosomal RNA". It matches the Rfam family "Bacterial small subunit ribosomal RNA", at positions 524 to 776 of the family's 1533-position model. The record is from RNAcentral.